RNAcentral lists this long non-coding RNA (941 nucleotides) under Fukomys damarensis (Damara mole-rat). RNAcentral's name for it is "lncRNA (ENSFDAG00000026860.1)". Lineage: Eukaryota; Metazoa; Chordata; Mammalia; Rodentia; Bathyergidae. The record is from RNAcentral.
AAAAUCUCAAGAGAGAUAGGCCAAUGUAGGUAUUUUAAUCAGGAAAGAAAGAAGGUAGUAAGAGGGCAAGAAGAGAGGGACAAAAAGAAUCCACGCCUUACCUGGACUACUGGAAAUGUUUACCUAGAGAGGGAAAAGAUUUAUACUAUGGUCCUUUUUAGCAUCUACUAGAAGAUAAAUGGUACGAGAUGUUUUUGUGCACUAAAUCAACAGGCUUUGCACGUUUUUUAUACAAGGAGUUUUGGGAUUGGCGGUUGGGUUAUAACGUUGGCUGUCAUCUCAUUCAAAUCCAGUUUGUUACAAGCAAUAACAAUGAGGAGGCAUAGGAAGGAAGGCCCUCUCUGUAGACUAUGCAGCAGACAUGAUCUCAGGUCUGAGGAAUAAAAGAACAGGAACUGCGGCAAAUGCAGGCCUAAUACCAUCAGGCUCAAAAGACAUAGCUUUCAGAAACCUCAAUUUCCAUGUAAGUUGGCCAUCUUUGAGGAAAUGCAUCUAAUAAUAUUUCCUCAAUGAAUUUCAAUAAAUGAAACACACUGGCUACAAGAGGAGGAAGAGAAAUACAGUAAUACGAACAUUCAAGUCGCGAAGUCUCACAGAUACGAACCGCCCUCUGGUCACAAACGCUCAGAGAUGGGAACACAGUGCAGGAGUCGCUCACUCGCCAGCCGGACACCGUUAACAGUUGCGCUGCUGUGUGUUUCCUGUGGAGUAGCUCAGCGCUCAGUUAGAGCCCCGGAUGUCCGGAAGCGGAAAGGAGAAGCACUGGUGAUGGGGAGGGGACCGCUGGGUAGCACGAAGCCACGUUUGUGUCGCUUAAUCAGAUUUAUGAGUCCAGUGGCAGAUAGGGUGUAGAUCUAGGGUUUGUGUGAACUCACGGUGGUCUUUAGCUUCGGCCCAGCGGCACAGGGAGCAGAGGGGAAGUCACUUCAAUCAAGACCAGG